This 495-nucleotide ribosomal RNA is filed under the name uncultured bacterium. RNAcentral's name for it is "partial 16S ribosomal RNA". It matches the Rfam family "Bacterial small subunit ribosomal RNA", at positions 28 to 523 of the family's 1533-position model. The record is from RNAcentral.
GAUGAACGCUAGCGGGAGGCCUAACACAUGCAAGCCGAGCGGUAGAGAUCUUUCGGGAUCUUGAGAGCGGCGUACGGGUGCGGAACACGUGUGCAACCUGCCUUUAUCUGGGGGAUAGCGUUUCGAAAGGAAGAUUAAUACCCCAUAAUAUAUUGAUUCGCAUGGAUUGAUAUUGAAAACUCCGGUGGAUAGAGAUGGGCACGCGCAAGAUUAGAUAGUUGGUGAGGUAACGGCUCACCAAGUCAGUGAUCUUUAGGGGGCGUGAGAGGGUGAUCCCCCACACUGGUACUGAGACACGGACCAGACUCCUACGGGAGGCAGCAGUGAGGAAUAUUGGACAAUGGGUGAGAGCCUGAUCCAGCCAUCCCGCGUGAAGGACGACGGUUCUAUGGAUUGUAAACUUCUUUUAUAUAGGGAUAAACCUACUUACGUGUAAGUAGCUGAAGGUACUAUAUGAAUAAGCACCGGCUAACUCCGUGCCAGCAGCCGCCGUAA